RNAcentral lists this unclassified non-coding RNA (332 nucleotides) under soil metagenome. RNAcentral's name for it is "partial contains 5.8S ribosomal RNA, internal transcribed spacer 2, and large subunit ribosomal RNA". The stretch from base 1 to 120 matches the Rfam family "5.8S ribosomal RNA", at positions 35 to 154 of the family's 154-position model. The record is from RNAcentral.
GAUGAAGAACGCAGCAAAAUGCGAUAAGUAAUGUGAAUUGCAGAAUUCAGUGAAUUAUCGAAUCUUUGAACGCACAUUGCGCCCGCCAGUAUUCUGGCGGGCAUGCCUGUUCGAGCGUCAUUUCAACCCUCAAGCACAGCUUGGUGUUGGGACUCGCGUUAAUUCGCGUUCCUCAAAUUGAUUGGCGGUCACGUCGAGCUUCCAUAGCGUAGUAGUAAAACCCUCGUUACUGGUAAUCGUCGCGGCCACGCCGUUAAACCCCAACUUCUGAAUGUUGACCUCGGAUCAGGUAGGAAUACCCGCUGAACUUAAGCAUAUCAAUAAGCGGAGGA